AACGAACGCUGGCGGCAGGCUUAACACAUGCAAGUCGAACGCCCCGCAAGGGGAGUGGCAGACGGGUGAGUAACGCGUGGGAACAUACCCUUUUCUACGGAAUAGCUCUGGGAAACUGGAAUUAAUACCGUAUACGCCCUACGGGGGAAAGAUUUAUCGGGGAAGGAUUGGCCCGCGUUGGAUUAGCUAGUUGGUGGGGUAAAGGCCUACCAAGGCGACGAUCCAUAGCUGGUCUGAGAGGAUGAUCAGCCACAUUGGGACUGAGACACGGCCCAAACUCCUACGGGAGGCAGCAGUGGGGAAUAUUGGACAAUGGGCGCAAGCCUGAUCCAGCCAUGCCGCGUGAGUGAUGAAGGCCUUAGGGUUGUAAAGCUCUUUCACCGAUGAAGAUAAUGACGGUUGUCGGAGAAGAAGCCCCGGCUAACUUCGUG
RNAcentral lists this ribosomal RNA (431 nucleotides) under uncultured bacterium. Its description in RNAcentral is "partial 16S ribosomal RNA". It matches the Rfam family "Bacterial small subunit ribosomal RNA", at positions 29 to 507 of the family's 1533-position model. The record is from RNAcentral.